AGUGAACGCUGGCGGUAGGCCUAACACAUGCAAGUCGAACGGCAGCACAGUAAGAGCUUGCUCUUACGGGAGGCGAGUGGCGGACGGGUGAGGAAUACAUCGGAAUCUACUUUUUCGUGGGGGAUAACGUAGGGAAACUUACGCUAAUACCGCAUACGACCUACGGGUGAAAGCAGGGGAUCUUCGGACCUUGCGCGAUUGAAUGAGCCGAUGUCGGAUUAGCUAGUUGGCGGGGUAAAGGCCCACCAAGGCGACGAUCCGUAGCUGGUCUGAGAGGAUGAUCCGCCACACUGGAACUGAGGCACGGUCCAGACUCCUACGGGAGGCAGCAGUGGGGAAUAUUGGACAAUGGGCGAAAGCCUGAUCCAGCCAUACCGCGUGGGUGAAGAAGGCCUUCGGGUUGUAAAGCCCUUUUGUUGGGAAAGAAAAGCAGCAGGUUAAUACCCCGCUGUUCUGACGGUACCCAAAGAAUAAGCACCGGCUAACUUCGUG
RNAcentral lists this ribosomal RNA (492 nucleotides) under uncultured bacterium. RNAcentral's name for it is "partial 16S ribosomal RNA". It matches the Rfam family "Bacterial small subunit ribosomal RNA", at positions 29 to 507 of the family's 1533-position model. The record is from RNAcentral.